Molecule: non-coding RNA, 76 nt
Organism: Xylariomycetidae sp. FL0641
Lineage: Eukaryota; Fungi; Ascomycota; Sordariomycetes
Source: the annotation of a GenBank genome assembly
GCCCGGUUAGCUCAAUCGGUAGAGCGUGAGACUCUUAAUCUCAAGGUUGCGGGUAAGUUCAUUCAUAUAUGAAUCU